UUAUAAAUAAUUAAAAUUUACGGUUUCUGCCCCUUGUUACGAACUGCUAUUUGGGUGGGCAGUGCCGCUAGCUCAGCGAUCUCUUUGGGCCAAGUUCUCCCCAAUGCCCAGUCCGACAACAUAAAAUCGAUUGCUCGAUGUCUCACAACACUGAAUUACUACGAUCUCUAACAAAAAUGUAAACAAACCAAAAACGUAAACAUUCAAAUACAAGGCGGCGGAAAUUCGGAACUUUGGUGGCCAUCGGUGUUCUUGGCCACUGCGUACCCACCCAACAUAGGAUGCCUGAAAAAGGUCUAGCAAUUCAUCAUCAUUACAAACUGGCUUUAAUUACUCAGGCCACAGUAUCGUCAAUCGACCGCCGUCUUAAAAUUUAGCGGUCCAAGCAAAUUUUUAAGAAAAGGACCGGAAAUGUUCUGCCCCCUUAUAUUGGCAGAAUUCUUUUGUUAACGCGGCUUAAAAUUAGGGUCACCUAAUCCUGAGGAGCUCCACGGGAAAAGAAAGGACGCCGAACGUUUCAGAAAUCUGUCGGUCAAAAGUGAAACUUGGGACAAGGGCGCAAUUAAAUUGGACAAUAUGCAAGUGCUGGUUGGGCUCAGCCCACCAGGAAACGCACCACCAGGAACUCGGAGGCUUAUGUGGACGGGCUGGCCAACCUCGUGGCACCAGUCGCCCGCGAAGGAAAUUGGCCACUAUCGGAGGCACCCCGACGCGGAAUGGACUCACCGGAGAUCUGGAGUCCGAGAAUGUGGACUGGGCUGUCGAUGGUGAGAGUUUUUCCUGAUUCCUGCGUGAGUCAAUCGAUGUCCAUCCAAACUUAUAUCUUAAAGUUAUGCUCCCUCGAAAUUAAAUUUAUA
Drosophila ficusphila is the source of this 857-nucleotide long non-coding RNA. RefSeq lists it as uncharacterized. The record is from RefSeq and is a predicted model, not a curated record. The transcript has 5 exons. NCBI's taxonomy places the organism in Eukaryota, Metazoa, Arthropoda, Insecta, Diptera, Drosophilidae.